This 468-nucleotide ribosomal RNA is filed under the name uncultured bacterium. RNAcentral describes it as "partial 16S ribosomal RNA". It matches the Rfam family "Bacterial small subunit ribosomal RNA", at positions 28 to 507 of the family's 1533-position model. The record is from RNAcentral.
GACGAACGCUGGCGGCGUGCUUAACACAUGCAAGUCGAACGGAAAGGCCCUGCUUUUCUGGGGUGCUCGAGUGGCGAACGGGUGAGUAACACGUGAGUAACCUGCCCUUGACUUUGGGAUAACUUCAGGAAACUGGGGCUAAUACCGGAUAGGAGCUCCUGCUGCAUGGUGGGGGUUGGAAAGUUUCGGCGGUUGGGGAUGGACUCGCGGCUUAUCAGCUUGUUGGUGGGGUAGUGGCUUACCAAGGCUUUGACGGGUAGCCGGCCCGAGAGGGUGACCGGCCACAUUGGGACUGAGAUACGGCCCAGACUCCUACGGGAGGCAGCAGUGGGGAAUAUUGCACAAUGGGCGGAAGCCUGAUGCAGCAACGCCGCGUGCGGGAUGACGGCCUUCGGGUUGUAAACCGCUUUCGCCUGUGACGAAGCGUGAGUGACGGUAAUGGGUAAAGAAGCACCGGCUAACUACGUG